Molecule: ribosomal RNA, 253 nt
Filed under: uncultured bacterium
Lineage: Bacteria
Description: partial 16S ribosomal RNA
Rfam family: Bacterial small subunit ribosomal RNA
Source: RNAcentral
UACGUAGGGGGCUAGCGUUGUCCGGAAUCAUUGGGCGUAAAGCGCGUGUAGGCGGCUCGCUAAGUCCGCUGUGAAAGUCGGGGGCUCAACCCUCGGAUGCCGGUGGAUACUGUCGGGCUAGAGUACGGAAGAGGCGAGUGGAAUUCCUGGUGUAGCGGUGAAAUGCGCAGAUAUCAGGAGGAACACCGGUGGCGAAGGCGGCAUCCUGGACCAACACUGACGCUGAGGAGCGAAAGCCAGGGGAGUAAACGGG